UUGGUUUAUUUUAAGGCCAACUUUUAACGUUAAUCUUCUGAUCAUAUCCUGGAAUACAGAUUCCGGGUCUUUCUAUCGAUUGCAAAAUAUCAUACAAGUAUAAACACAUAUUUUAAAAUUGCCUUCAUAGCUUUAACUGCAAGUGAGACGUUUACGUUUAACAAAUCAUGUUUUAUUUUUUGCAGUUUUCCAGGUUGCUAUGGUGGCAUUAUUGCAUAGAUGAGAGACCAUCCAUGAUUCAUACACAACAUCGACUGACGUGGUUUCAGAUUUGUUGCAGGAAGGGUGACCGUGUGUACAUACAGAUCAUGGACUUAGGUGUUGUCAGAACUGGAGCAUAAAUGGGUUCCAUGGAAACGUGUCUCUACAUCUAGGCAAUGGUAUAAUUGAUGGCCGACGUUCAGAUGUACAAAGUUAUACAGCAGAUUUGGAGCAUAAAGGGUGUGUAUGUUUACGUUUUUAGCACGACUAUUCGAAGAAUAGGGGAUCAUCCUACUCGCCCCGGCGUCGGCGUGAG
Molecule: long non-coding RNA, 517 nt
Organism: Mercenaria mercenaria
Lineage: Eukaryota; Metazoa; Mollusca; Bivalvia; Venerida; Veneridae
Exons: 3
Source: RefSeq, a predicted model, not a curated record